AACCACAUAUCUAUGCAGCUUAUGAGUCGGGCGCAGUCCUUGUUUUCGUGCCGAUACCUUUUUCUGUUUUGGUGCUGCGUCACCCUAUUUUGGACCAAUGGCCCAUGUAUCAAGUUGAGUCCAUUAGGGACGCGUCCUAGGGUUGGAGGACGACUCUAGCACCCCUUUGGUCGUCCUCCCCUCUAUUUAUUUACAUCUAGAGCCGCCAUGAACAACUGGGUUUUGAUUAGAUAAAGUUUAGCCUUCGCUACUUGCUUGUAAACGCGCGUGCUGAUCCAGCCGCCCGUCUUCUUGUUUUCGAAACCCCACUUCAUUAGAAAUUGAGUUUGAAACCUUCAUUUACAUCUAGUAUUUUAGUACUUGUUCUACUUGUUCUUGCUGGUUCUUCGAUUGCUUGCAGGACGAGUGCCCUAGUGGCCGGGUGUUGCGCUCCACAAGAUCGUGACAGCCAUUGGAGGCGGUGUAUCGGUUGCUAAGGCGCGGCCUUAGAAGGCUGUAGUCGGGCCGUGAACGUCAUCUCCAUUCACUAAUCGAGUUAUCCAGCGCCUCUCAUCGAAAGAUCAGGCGAAAACCCUAGUGGGUUCACAUCAGUUGGUAAUCAGAGCAAGGUUUAUCGGUGAGAGAUUUCCAAUUCUUCGUGUUUGUUUUUCCUAUAGUCCAAAAAAAGCCAAAAAAUAUAGCAAAUUUGUUUUCCAUAAUCCUAUAAAUCCUUUGUGCCAUGGCUAGUACUACAUAGUUAGGGCUGGUUGAAUGAGUGUUUGCUUCGGUCGUGUCCAGUGCUGGUUUUAGUUUAGUCCUUUAGAGUUUUGAGUUCUUGUCACCAUCUAGUCACAACAGCGUCCAAUCUAUUGUGGGUUGGAAUUUGAGUAGAUCUUGAUAAUAGGUGCCGCCACUUGUUGGUCUAUUCUGCGUUUCCAUCAACGUGAUCCAAAAGGAAAGAUAGCACUUCAUACUUGUGCUAGAUAUAUUGAAUUUUGAGGUGCUCUAGUGAGAGGGUGAGAGUGGUGAAGUGAUAUUUUGUACUAUUUUGUUUAUAUAAUCAGGUUUUGAGGUUCCCCAAAAAAAAGAAAAGAGAAAGAAAAAAAAUAAAGAAAAAAAAAGAAUGAAAGAAAGAAAAAAGAAAAAAAAUCAAAAAAAGGGGAUUGUUGUUCCUUUUGUUUCCAGUAGGGCUGCUCAUUUUGUUUCUAGUGGUGUGCUGUGUUUUCCCUUUG
This 1211-nucleotide long non-coding RNA is filed under the name Sorghum bicolor (sorghum). RNAcentral's name for it is "long non-coding RNA (SBIC_LNC018604)". The record is from RNAcentral. Lineage: Eukaryota; Viridiplantae; Streptophyta; Magnoliopsida; Poales; Poaceae.